Molecule: transfer RNA, 85 nt
Organism: Felis catus (domestic cat)
Lineage: Eukaryota; Metazoa; Chordata; Mammalia; Carnivora; Felidae
Rfam family: tRNA
About the family: Transfer RNA (tRNA) molecules are approximately 80 nucleotides in length. Their secondary structure includes four short double-helical elements and three loops (D, anti-codon, and T loops).
Source: Rfam
GCCUAGGUGGCUCAGUCGGUUGAGCAUCUGACUUCAGCUCAGGUCAUGAUCUCACGGUUCGUGAGUUCAAGUCCUACGUUGGGCU